GACGAACGCUGGCGGCGUGCCUAAUACAUGCAAGUUGAGCGCUGAAGGUUGGUACUUGUACCAACUGGAUGAGCAGCGAACGGGUGAGUAACGCGUGGGGAAUCUGCCUUUGAGCGGGGGACAACAUUUGGAAACGAAUGCUAAUACCGCAUAAAAACUUUAAACACAAGUUUUAAGUUUGAAAGAUGCAAUUGCAUCACUCAAAGAUGAUCCCGCGUUGUAUUAGCUAGUUGGUGAGGUAAAGGCUCACCAAGGCGAUGAUACAUAGCCGACCUGAGAGGGUGAUCGGCCACAUUGGGACUGAGACACGGCCCAAACUCCUACGGGAGGCAGCAGUAGGGGAUCUUCGGCAAUGGACGAAAGUCUGACCGAGCAACGCCGCGGGAGUGAAGAAGGUUUUCGGAUCGUAAAACUCUGUUGGUAGAGAAGAACGUUGGUGAGAGUGGAAAGCUCAUCAAGUGACGGUAACUACCCAGAAAGGGACGGCUAACUACGUG
This 497-nucleotide ribosomal RNA is filed under the name uncultured bacterium. RNAcentral's name for it is "partial 16S ribosomal RNA". It matches the Rfam family "Bacterial small subunit ribosomal RNA", at positions 28 to 507 of the family's 1533-position model. The record is from RNAcentral.